UACGUAGGGUGCAAGCGUUGUCCGGAAUUACUGGGCGUAAAGCGUGCGCAGGCGGCUUUGCAAGUCAGAUGUGAAAUCCCCGGGCUUAACCUGGGAACUGCAUUUGUGACUGCAUGGCUAGAGUGCGGCAGAGGGGGAUGGAAUUCCGCGUGUAGCAGUGAAAUGCGUAGAUAUGCGGAGGAACACCGAUGGCGAAGGCAAUCCCCUGGGCCUGCACUGACGCUCAUGCACGAAAGCGUGGGGAGCAAACAGG
This 253-nucleotide ribosomal RNA is filed under the name uncultured bacterium. RNAcentral's name for it is "partial 16S ribosomal RNA". It matches the Rfam family "Bacterial small subunit ribosomal RNA", at positions 524 to 776 of the family's 1533-position model. The record is from RNAcentral.